RNAcentral lists this ribosomal RNA (649 nucleotides) under uncultured bacterium. RNAcentral's name for it is "bacterial SSU rRNA". It matches the Rfam family "Bacterial small subunit ribosomal RNA", at positions 140 to 805 of the family's 1533-position model. The record is from RNAcentral.
GGGAUAACGUUCUGAAAAGAACGCUAAUACCGCAUAAGAUUGUAGCUUCGCAUGGAGCAGCAAUCAAAGGAGCAAUCCGCUGAAAGAUGGACUCGCGUCCGAUUAGAUAGUUGGCGGGGUAACGGCCCACCAAGUCGACGAUCGGUAGCCGGACUGAGAGGUUGAUCGGCCACAUUGGGACUGAGACACGGCCCAGACUCCUACGGGAGGCAGCAGUGAGGGAUAUUGGGCAAUGGGGGAAACCCUGACCCAGCAACGCCGCGUGAGGGAUGACGGUUUUCGGAUUGUAAACCUCUGUCCUCUGUGAAGAUAGUGACGGUAGCAGAGGAGGAAGCUCCGGCUAACUACGUGCCAGCAGCCGCGGUAAUACGUAGGGAGCAAGCGUUGUCCGGAUUUACUGGGUGUAAAGGGUGCGUAGGCGGAUUGGCAAGUCAGAAGUGAAAUCCAUGGGCUUAACCCAUGAACUGCUUUUGAAACUGUUAGUCUUGAGUGAAGUAGAGGUAGGCGGAAUUCCCGGUGUAGCGGUGAAAUGCGUAGAGAUCGGGAGGAACACCAGUGGCGAAGGCGGCCUACUGGGCUUUAACUGACGCUGAGGCACGAAAGUGUGGGUAGCAAACAGGAUUAGAUACCCUGGUAGUCCACACUGUAA